AAGAACGCAAUGAGAAAGAAGAGUAAUUUGUUUGCCCUUUAAGCGAGCUUCGUUUGGUGAGAGGAAGUAAGACAGUAAGCAGAUGAAAAUCACUUUCGAGUGUUGUACCGAAAUCUUAGUGAGAGUAAGGUGCAUUGGGAACACCCAUUACAGUGUUAGCGUAUCGCCUAGACGUAGGCUGUACGUGAAAGGUAGCUGCAGCGAUGUAGCUAUAAAUGCAGGGUGGUACCACGCGAUAGGCGUCCUUGAA
This 250-nucleotide non-coding RNA is filed under the name Ligilactobacillus salivarius. RNAcentral's name for it is "Lactobacillus salivarius T-box sequence". It matches the Rfam family "T-box leader". From Rfam's summary of the family: Uncharged tRNA acts as the effector for transcription antitermination of genes in the T-box leader family. T-boxes are found upstream of many aminoacyl-tRNA synthetase genes and some amino acid biosynthetic genes usually in Gram-positive bacteria. The record is from RNAcentral. Lineage: Bacteria; Bacillati; Bacillota; Bacilli; Lactobacillales; Lactobacillaceae.